This 253-nucleotide ribosomal RNA is filed under the name uncultured bacterium. RNAcentral describes it as "partial 16S ribosomal RNA". It matches the Rfam family "Bacterial small subunit ribosomal RNA", at positions 524 to 776 of the family's 1533-position model. The record is from RNAcentral.
GACAGAGGGUGCAAACGUUGUUCGGAAUUACUGGGCGUAAAGCGCGUGUAGGCGGUCGGGCAAGUCGGGUGUGAAAGCCCAGGGCUCAACCCUGGAAGUGCAUUCGAUACUGCCUGGCUAGAGUCUCGGAGAGGGUGGUGGAACUCUCGGUGUAGAGGUGAAAUUCGUAGAUAUCGAGAAGAACACCUGUGGCGAAGGCGGCCACCUGGACGAUGACUGACGCUGAGACGCGAAAGCGUGGGGAGCAAACAGG